UGAAAACUACGUGAAAUUGGGGUUAUCCAACCACCCAGAACCUGAAUCCGACCCUUCUACUGCUUUAUUUGAGGUUAAUUCUGAUCUCUCUGCUUCUGCUUCUGCCUCUGAUUGUGCUUGGUCUCUUUACGAUGAUCUGUAUCUCGAUACUAUGUAUAACGAUUCUGAAGUCCCUGAUGUUCUCGACCCUCAAAUCGGUGUUACCAAAGUGGAGAAAGGGGUUUUUAUGGCG
Molecule: unclassified non-coding RNA, 232 nt
Filed under: Hevea brasiliensis (rubber tree)
Lineage: Eukaryota; Viridiplantae; Streptophyta; Magnoliopsida; Malpighiales; Euphorbiaceae
Source: RNAcentral